CAACAAAAUAAUUCAAGUAACAAGGUAGAGCCCAAAUGGGGCUGUGGUAUUGAUCUGACUGUAAUGCUACACCACAAAAAUGCCUGUAACUGUAUCUCUGGGCCAUCCUGGAGAGGAAAGGUUGUGCAUGCUGGGCAUAGGAGCUGAAGAGAGCCCUGUGGUAUCACCAGCAAGGCAGCCCUUGGGUGGGAAGCCAGAGGGGAAGAAAAGGGGCUGAAGAUGAAGCAACAUCCAGUUACAUCUGUGUGAAUUUGGUCUGAACACAUGGAAACCUGGAACAGGGAUGUUAAAAUGGCCUGAAAAAAGGAUAAUUUGUGUUGGGCACAAAGGUCUUUUUUUGUUUCUGCAAGCAUGAUCUAAAUAUAUCCUAAUACUUCAUGGGCUUAGUCUCUGCACUGCAGUUGUCUUCUUAUUGAGAUUAUUUCCCUAUUGUAUAUUGCUGGUGAAAUUUCUGCUGCCAAAUCAUGAUGCACGAGGAAUGUUCUAAGAUGGGUGAAGAGCCUUAUGGGCCAUGUCUGUAGAGGGAAGAGUGUAAGAACAUUCUUGGAAGCACAGUUCUUCUUUCCUUUGACUACUUUCUUAGGAGUACUCUUUAAGGAGAAUUUCUGCCUUGCUACAAGGAGAUCUCACAUAUGUGAGGGCUGUGUAUUACACACUUGAGAGUGGCUAAGAACAGCUGGCCAUAUAGCUGCCAACAUUACAACUGACAGAAAGAGGAUGCUCUGAAUCAAUGCCCUAGUGAGGAUGUGCAGAAUUCUCUGAGGGGGAUAAAAACACAUUGAAAAUAAUGUUAAGAAAGAAGUCUUUGCUCACAAGACAAUACUUAUUUCAAAUUUCUUGAAAAAUUCUCAGUAAUCGUAAAUAUUACUUUACUUAAAAUACACUGCUAUAUGAGUUAUUUCAUUUGCAAAAAGAAAAAAAUGUGUAACAGAAAAUAUAAACAAAUAAGUUUGUGUCUACUCACUUAAAUUUUAUCCCAGGACUAGAAUCAAGUCAGAAUGUUUUUCUUUCUGGGGGAGGCAGUUCUUUAUCAUGAAAGUUAUAAAUACAUUUUCUCAGAAAAGUACACUUUGCACAUGAACUCUGCAGAGAUGGCUGCACAUACACAGCUUUGCAAGAAAUGUCAGACCCUUGAAGUUUCCUUCUUUAAUAAAUGCAGAAUGAAAGGAUAAUUUGACAUAGUUUCUUAUGAAACUGGUAAUAAGAAUUAACUUUAAGCAAACCUGUUUCCCCAAUAGAAUUUCAUGCUUACUUUCUAACAAAUUAAAUAAAUUGUAUAUAGAACUAUCUUUUUUUUAAAAUUUGGGGGCAAUUAUACAAUUUUCAAAGUAAUUUUUCUGUUUAUGAACAAACCAAUCUAAGUUCAAAGAAUUAUGAGAAAUUCAGGGAGGAUAGGUUAUAUGUUGAAAGUAUAGUAGAGCUGAGAAUUUCCCAAUAUGGAGACAAAAAAGCUAAAGGGAGAUAUGACAGCUUCUGAAAAUGUUAAGGAAUGUUGUCAGGAGGACAGGGACCAAUUCUCAUUAGCCAAUGAGAGCAGAAAAGGAAGUAAUGAACUUCAACUAUAGCAUGGAAAUUUAAGUGAAAUAUAAGAAAACUUUUAAACCAUCAGAACAAUUAAGCAAAGGUACAAAUAAUAAAUUCACCUUUACUAAUCAUAUUCAAAGUAGCACUUGAUAUUCAUCCAUUAGGAAUAAGUUAGAAAUAAUAAAACCAAUUUUACCAACAUUCUGGGAGUAGAUUAAAUGAUUUAAGAGGGAAUACUUCUCAAAAUCCUCACAAUGUUCUAAAAAAUAGACUCUGAAAAAGAAUAGCUUUUAAAAUAUGUAGGA
This is a long non-coding RNA of Sapajus apella (tufted capuchin), 1829 nucleotides long. RefSeq lists it as uncharacterized. Lineage: Eukaryota; Metazoa; Chordata; Mammalia; Primates; Cebidae. The transcript is spliced from 2 exons. The record is from RefSeq and is a predicted model, not a curated record.